AAACUCAAGUUGGUUCAGGGAAUUGUCAACAAAGGGACGAGAGACGCGCAACUCCGCUCCGCACUGUGCGCCAGCAUCCCCGGGGCACGGAGGGCGCUGCGGCCCGCCCGGAGACCCCCCCACCCAGGCUGGAUCCGGGCCCUGGGGCCCAGGGAGCGGGUGGGUGUGAGUGUGGGUGGGUGUGAGCGAGUCAGGGCGUGGGCCUGGGAGCGUCCGCGGGACUGUGCGACUGUCGCUGCCCUGCCUUCCCCGCCCCCUCUCCCUUCCGCCCUUCUCCCCCCCACUUUGUCACACUCCUUAGACAGGGACUGGGCGACCUAGAACGAGGUUCCCAUAUCGUGUUUUAAAAAGCAAAACUUAGUCUCUGUUUUGCUUUUUGUUUCAUUGUUUUUAGCUUUAAAGAGUAAGAGCAGCGCACCCGGCUCCCUCCUGCUAAUUAGAUUUCAGAUUCCCCUCUGGCCUCAGUGCUCAUUCCGGGGAAGACACCUGCUGAGAUGUCUUUUUCCCCCUCCCCCAACCAAACCACUCAGGUCCUACCUGCUCUUUCCCGGCUUGAUGCGGGCGUGUUUUCCUGUAUGUAUUUUUUCGUGCGGCCACAAAAAGCAUCAGCUGGGGUUCCCGAAGGUCAGAAAAUGGCUAUUGAUUAAUCUACUAGAAUAGUUGCCGAGAGAAAUAAAAACGACGUAAAAUAGCAGGGAACCUAUAAAUAAAGAAGCCAUAACUGGCUACUUGGAGUUGUUAAACGACUUAGCAUAUGAAAAAAUCGGAAAUGAGGCGCUGGGGAAGGAGCUGGGAUUGGCAGCGGCCUGGGUAAGUCGAGUGGAUCCGGGAAGAGGCCUGGUGUCUUCAGGUGUGGACAAAUCCUCCAAGAUUUAACUUCCAAGAAAACCGGCGGCGGAGCGGGUGGAGGAGGCGAGGAUGUGUGGCCAAUGCACGCGGAGUGCAAGGCCGCCUAGUUGGGAGCCGCAAGAGCCUGCCUGGUGUGGCAGGCACACGGAACCCAAUCCCUGUCUGUCCGCUGCGGCCUGGGAGGGGAGCGCCGGCCUCACCAGAGGAAGGAGCACGAGGGGAGGAGUUCCGAGAGGAAAUAAUUAGUGAAAUAUUUGCAGAAGAUGCUGGGAUGUGGAUUUAAUUCCGGAUGGACAGUGGUGCUUCUGAUUCCCUCAGUCUGUUUCCCCACCCACGAUCUCCUCUUUCCUUGGCCUAGACACACCAAAAAUAAUUCAAUAAAAUAAAAAUAAAAAUUUAAAAAUCUGUAAA
Molecule: long non-coding RNA, 1260 nt
Filed under: Homo sapiens (human)
Lineage: Eukaryota; Metazoa; Chordata; Mammalia; Primates; Hominidae
Source: RNAcentral